Molecule: long non-coding RNA, 4401 nt
Filed under: Homo sapiens (human)
Lineage: Eukaryota; Metazoa; Chordata; Mammalia; Primates; Hominidae
Description: non-protein coding lnc-SLC44A3-1:11
Source: RNAcentral
CUGGGGGCUUCCCAGCCACAGGCCAUUCACGUCAACCUCCAGGCAUCCUCCGCGGCGGGCCGGACCGGGCCGGCGGAGGGGAGCGGAAGCCCACCGGGGCUGGCCCGCCGCUGACCCGCCGCCUCCGUCUGCCUCCUCCCGGGCUCUGGGCCCAGCGCGCCCAGAUGCCGGGCAGGACCCCUCCGCCCGCUGCUGGAACACCAAUAGCAGCGUUGGAGCCUCUGGGCCGGAGGAACUGGGGCCUCCACCGACACCUGCUUCUUCCCUCACCUCGCAGCCUUCCACACCUGUUGAUCUGACCUCUGCCCCGCUGCCGCCCAGGAGUAACCUAAGGCUUUUGGCCUGAUUCGAGCUCACUCCGUCUAAACCUCUAAAUGCGGUGCGAAAAAAUCCUGGGGAAUGUGCCAUGCAAAGCCUGGGCAUUUCAAGUGCUUUUCUGGAUUCGCAUCAACUCCUCUUUACAGGCAUCUUUAUCCGGAAUUCAGCUCGUCCCAAACCCCACGUGGUGUAGCUCUGCUUGUGUUUUUGAAUCCCGGGGCCUCUUUGAAUCAGAAGCCCUUUGUAUAGAGAUAAGUAUCCUUUAGGCCAGAAUCAGCCUCCAUUUUUUUCGCAGUCCCAUUUCCUACCCGUAAUACUUUCUUCUGAUUUUAAAGCCAUUUGAUAGAGAAGGGACAGGGAACAGAACCUUCGCCCCCCGCCUGAGCAGCUGGUAGACUAGAUAUCUUCCAAACAUUAUCUCAUUUACUUCCCUGGAGUUACAAAUAGGUAGAUUUCAUGUCCGUUGAGGGGUGAGAAAGCUGAAACUUUGAGACUUAAGAAUCCUGGCCGAGGUCAGCCUCCUCCGAAGCUUCAUCUCUUGCCACCACUUUCUGGUGCACACCUAGGACAGAUUUCAAUCCCUGAGAUCCCAGGAUGAAACCUAUGUUUGCCAAAUACCAGCUACUGUGCCAGAAGAGAUCAUGGAACCAGGUGUGGAAAGCUGCUUGAGAAGAGGAGCCAAAACAUCAUAGUUGAACCGUCCUGGAAUAGAAGUGAGUAAGGUGAACCAGGUGUGGUGGCUCAUGCCUGUAAUCCUAGCACUUUGGGAGACCGAGGUGGGAGGAUUGCUUGAGGCCUGGAGUUCAGGAACAUCCUGGGCAACAUAGCAAGAUCCUGUCUCUACAAAAAAUCCAAAGUUUUUUUAAAUUAAAAAAAAAAAGUGAGUAAGGCAGCUUGAACCGGAAAUGCACAAAACUGCUAUCCAGUUUGCAAGGCUUUUCCCAAUGACUUUGAGGGAUGGAACCUGAAGGAAGCGGGAGGAGGCAAAUAGGGAGGAAAGUGAAAUGAUUUAUAAAUGACUUGCUAAUUUUGUCCAAAGGGAGUAAUGAUAAUUAGGGCAUUCUUCCCACACGAAGAUGACACAAUUGACCCAAUAUCAUUGAGGCUAACAGUUUGGGCUGUUUUUCCAGUAGUAUGACAGUGACGGUGUGUCAACCGCAGGACCUCACCCACAUUUCUUUGGGACCUAGGAGUGUGGGAAAUAGCAGCCAGAUUUGAGGUACAAAUCAUGGUGUCCAGCCUGCAAAGCCUUUUUGCAGCAAUCUAAGCCUGACUGCUCCUGUUGUAUGCUCAAAGUCAUUUUAAUCUACUUUAGCUUAUUGUAAAAUGUUCAAGAAUUGUAUUUUGUCUUGAAAACCAUGAAUUUUAUUGUUUAGGGGGAGUUAUUUUUUAAGGAGUGCAGGAUUUCAGUUUUGGAUGAUGAAAAAGUUUUGAAGAUGGGUAGUGACAGUGGUCACACAACAUUGUAAAUGUACUUAAUGCCAUUGUACACUUACGUGACUUUAAAGUAAACAUGAAAUUUUCUACAUUUGUUUGUUUGAUCAACUGUUAUCCUCCCUAAGGUACUUGAAGUUCUUUCUGACAUUGCCACUGGAACUUACUAUUUAAAUAUUGUUGGUCCUCUUGGAUUCCAUCAGUACUCCAGAGACUUCCUUCGUUUCUAAUUUAACUCAUUGUGUAAGAAUACGUAAUGCUGUUGUUAGCACUAGGGAAUGUAUCUGAGUCUCAUGCACCAAAGUGUGUUAGCAGCAGCAAAUCUGUAUGGGUCUGCAGCAACCUCAAUUCUUGCCUCCUCCAAAGAAAGAAUUCUACCGAGAGGCAUAAGGCAGAGGGAGAGGCCAAGGCACGUUUUAGAGCAGGAGUGAAAGUUAGAGCAAGAAUGAAACGAAGUAAUGUACACUUGGAAGAGGGCCAGGCGGGCAACUUGAGAGAUUCAAGUGCGCUGCUUGACCUUUGACUUGGGGUUUUAUACAUUGGCAUGCUUCCAGGGGGUUGUGUCCCUUUUCCCCUGAUUCUUCCCUUGAGGUGGGCUGUCUGCAUGUGCAGUGGCCUGCCAGCACUUGGGAGGGACCACAUGCUCAGUGUGUUAACUGAGGUUGUACGCAUGCUCACUUGAGGCAUUCUUCGCUUACUAGUCAAGUGUUCCUAGAAGAAGGUCAUAUAUGAGUACCAGUUAAAUGCCACCAUUUUGCCUCUUAGUUCACACCUGUGAGCCCACUCAGCCAACUCCUAAGAUCCUAUCCAGAAGCUGCUGAUCACCAGUUGUAGGUAUUUUCUAGCCAUUGGGAGACUGCCUUUCCCUGGUGCCGGCUGUGACCAGUUAUUAUUUUAGAGAGACAGUUUAACAACUGCCUGACCACCUGAUGGUUGCGUGACAUUCCUGGUGGGAGCGGGGAGCCCUCUCCUGCUCUGCUUGUGUCUGACUACCUACUGUGGCACUAUAGAAUCAAAUGAGAAAAACUUAAAAUUUGGGACAAUUUUAACAGCUUUAUUGAAGUAUAUUGAUAUAACAAAGUAUAUUUAAAGUGUUCAGUUUGAUACACACAUAUACACAUAGAUACACCUAUUUAAAAACCCAUCACCACAACAGACAAAGGACAUAUUCAUCAUACCCAAAAGUUUCCUCAUGUAGCCCCUCCCUCCCAGUCUUCCUUACCUCUCCACCCCACCAGGCAACCCCUGAUAUGCUUUAUGUAACUAUACAUUAAUUUGUAUUUCCUAGAAUUUUAUAUAAUUGGAAUCACACAUUGUAUAUUCUGUUUUAUCUGGCUUCUUUCACUCAGCAAAAUUAUUACGAGAUUCACUGACGUUGUAGCAUGUAUCAUUAGUUCAUUCCUUUUAUUACUGAGUAGUAUUCAACUGUAGGGAUACACCAGUGAUUUUACCCAUUCCCUUAUUGAUGAACAUUUUGGUUGUUUCUAGAUUUUGGCUAUUGCAAAUAAAGCUGCUAUGAACAUUCAUGUACAAGUCUUUGUAUGGACAUAUGCUUUAAUUUCUCUCCCAUAAAUACCUAUAAAUGGAAUGGCUGGAUCAAGUGAAAGAUGUAUAUUUCACUUUUUAAGAAACUGCAAACUUUUUCCAAAAUGAUUGUACCAUUUUACAUUCCCACCAGUGCGUAUGAGAGUUCCAGUUCCUCUGCUUCCUCACCAACAGUUGGUAGGUCAGUUUUUUUAAAUUUAGUCAUUCUUAUAGAUGUGGAGUAUGGUAUCUCAUUAUGGUUUUAAUUUGAAUUCCCUUAAUACGUAAUGAUGUUGGGCUUCUUUUCAUGUAUUUAUUUGCCAUCUGUGUAUCUUUUUCAUGAAAUGUUUGUUCAGAUCUUUUGCCUAUUUUUAUUGGAUUGUGUGUUUUCUUAUUAUGGUAUUUAACUUGUCACUGUUAGGAUACAUUUCAAAAAUCCUGACCAAGUUCUAACAGUAGAAUGUGUCAGUAAAUGCUCAGUUUAAGUAAAAUGUCACAUUGCAAACUAACUACCAGGGUGUGGCCCAGCAAUCUUAAGUACUUUCCCUGGAAGUUUCUGUAAUAUGCAGAACACUUUCAAUUGAAAUAAAUGCUGUUAAGGAGGUCAACUCAACCUUUCCAAAUUUUUAUUAAUUAAAAGCAGUUGUUGGAGAGUUGUAGAAAAGUAUUUUUUCACAGAGGCAAAUUUGUGGGUCAUAUUGCCAUACAUCUUGCCACGAAAAUAAUAACAUAAAGUGUUUUGAAGAAUUCACCCUGUAAAUCUGUCAGAGGCAUGUGAACCAAAGCAACUCCAUCUUGAAUAGGGGCUAGGUAAAAUAAGGCUGAGACCUGCUAGGCUGCAUUCCCAGACGGUUAAGGCAUUCUAAGUCACAGAAUGAGUUAGGAGGUCAGCACAAGGUACAGGUCAUAAAGACUUUGCUGAUAAAACAGGUUUCAGUAAAGAAGCCAGCCAAAACCCACCAAAACCAAAAUGGCGGCAAGAAUGACCUCUGGUCGUCCUCACUGCUACACUCCCACCAGCGCCAUGACAGUUUGCAAAUGCCAUGGCAACAUCAGGAAGUUGCCCUAUAUGAUCUAAAAAAAGGAGGCAUGAAUAAGCCACCCCUUGUUUAGCGUAUCAUCAAG